CCUUAGAAUUUCUUAAGAGUUCUUGGCUACUUACUUAUUUUGUUGAAGGCUGAUUUCUUUCCUAUGAUAGAUUAUAAUGCUUUACUUUUUUGUGGAGGGUUGAUUUCUUCCUUGUAAAGAUAAGAGAUUCCUAAACAAAUAGGACCCUUAGAGUCCUAUAUAAAUCCUUGUAUCUUUCAUGAAAAAAAACAAUGAAUGAUUUUACAAACUCCACAAAUACUUGUGUCAAUCGCUCCGAAAGGGAGAGGGUGUGAGACCCAAAAUCACCCCACAAGGAGAGGGUGUGAGGCCCACUUUCUAUCCUAUUCCUUCUACUUAAGAUUCAGUAUUCCUGCGACUC
This 340-nucleotide long non-coding RNA is filed under the name Elaeis guineensis (African oil palm). RNAcentral's name for it is "long non-coding RNA (EGUI_LNC079048)". The record is from RNAcentral. Lineage: Eukaryota; Viridiplantae; Streptophyta; Magnoliopsida; Arecales; Arecaceae.